CGGAACGUGCCCAGUAGCGGGGGAUAACUACGCGAAAGCGUAGCUAAUACCGCAUACGCCCUACGGGGGAAAGGGGGGGAUCGCAAGACCUCUCACUAUUGGAGCGGCCGAUGUCGGAUUAGCUAGUUGGUGGGGUAAAGGCUCACCAAGGCGACGAUCCGUAGCUGGUUUGAGAGGACGACCAGCCACACUGGGACUGAGACACGGCCCAGACUCCUACGGGAGGCAGCAGUGGGGAAUUUUGGACAAUGGGGGAAACCCUGAUCCAGCCAUUCCGCGUGUGCGAUGAAGGCCUUCGGGUUGUAAAGCACUUUUGGCAGGAAAGAAAUCGGUCGGGAUAAUACCCUGAUCGGAUGACGGUACCUGCAGAAUAAGCACCGGCUAACUACGUGCCAGCAGCCGCGGUAAUACGUAGGGUGCAAGCGUUAAUCGGAAUUACUGGGCGUAAAGCGUGCGCAGGCGGUUCGGAAAGAAAGAUGUGAAAUCCCAGGGCUCAACCUUGGAACUGCAUUUUUAACUACCGGGCUAGAGUGUGUCAGAGGGAGGUGGAAUUCCGCGU
This 559-nucleotide ribosomal RNA is filed under the name uncultured bacterium. RNAcentral's name for it is "bacterial SSU rRNA". It matches the Rfam family "Bacterial small subunit ribosomal RNA", at positions 119 to 674 of the family's 1533-position model. The record is from RNAcentral.